RNAcentral lists this ribosomal RNA (1794 nucleotides) under Streptococcus pneumoniae GA60080. Its description in RNAcentral is "bacterial SSU rRNA". The stretch from base 1 to 1358 matches the Rfam family "Bacterial small subunit ribosomal RNA". The record is from RNAcentral. Lineage: Bacteria; Bacillati; Bacillota; Bacilli; Lactobacillales; Streptococcaceae.
AGAGUUUGAUCCUGGCUCAGGACGAACGCUGGCGGCGUGCCUAAUACAUGCAAGUAGAACGCUGAAGGAGGAGCUUGCUUCUCUGGAUGAGUUGCGAACGGGUGAGUAACGCGUAGGUAACCUGCCUGGUAGCGGGGGAUAACUAUUGGAAACGAUAGCUAAUACCGCAUAAGAGUAGAUGUUGCAUGACAUUUGCUUAAAAGGUGCACUUGCAUCACUACCAGAUGGACCUGCGUUGUAUUAGCUAGUUGGUGGGGUAAGGGCUCACCAAGGCGACGAUACAUAGCCGACCUGAGAGGGUGAUCGGCCACACUGGGACUGAGACACGGCCCAGACUCCUACGGGAGGCAGCAGUAGGGAAUCUUCGGCAAUGGACGGAAGUCUGACCGAGCAACGCCGCGUGAGUGAAGAAGGUUUUCGGAUCGUAAAGCUCUGUUGUAAGAGAAGAACGAGUGUGAGAGUGGAAAGUUCACACUGUGACGGUAUCUUACCAGAAAGGGACGGCUAACUACGUGCCAGCAGCCGCGGUAAUACGUAGGUCCCGAGCGUUGUCCGGAUUUAUUGGGCGUAAAGCGAGCGCAGGCGGUUAGAUAAGUCUGAAGUUAAAGGCUGUGGCUUAACCAUAGUAGGCUUUGGAAACUGUUUAACUUGAGUGCAAGAGGGGAGAGUGGAAUUCCAUGUGUAGCGGUGAAAUGCGUAGAUAUAUGGAGGAACACCGGUGGCGAAAGCGGCUCUCUGGCUUGUAACUGACGCUGAGGCUCGAAAGCGUGGGGAGCAAACAGGAUUAGAUACCCUGGUAGUCCACGCUGUAAACGAUGAGUGCUAGGUGUUAGACCCUUUCCGGGGUUUAGUGCCGUAGCUAACGCAUUAAGCACUCCGCCUGGGGAGUACGACCGCAAGGUUGAAACUCAAAGGAAUUGACGGGGGCCCGCACAAGCGGUGGAGCAUGUGGUUUAAUUCGAAGCAACGCGAAGAACCUUACCAGGUCUUGACAUCCCUCUGACCGCUCUAGAGAUAGAGUUUUCCUUCGGGACAGAGGUGAAGAGAAAUUUUUGAAACCAAGCUUCAAAAAAGUCGCUCGUCAUCGUCUCUUCGUAAGUCAUUGGAGCGAUUAACUCACCAUUUGUUAGACCUGCAACCAAAGAAAUCCUCUGAUAUCUUCUUCCAGAUACUUUGCCUCUUCUUAACUGACCUUUUAAUGAGCGACCAUAUUCUCGAUAAAAAUAAGUAUCGAAUCCUGUUUCGUCAAUCUAAACAGGUGCUAGGUGCUUUAAACUAUUAAAAUUCUUAAGAAAUAAGGCUACUUUUUCUGGGUCUUGUUCAUAAUUAGAUUGAAACUAGAAUAGUACACCUCUGCUUCUAAAACAUUGUUAGAAAUCGAUUUGACUGUCCUGAUUGAUUUGUCAUGUUCUUAUUUCAUUUUACUAUAUUUUUGUUUCGCGGGAAGUCUACUAAGAUACUUAAAGAUGCAGAUAGUGAAAAAAGGUGUAGACAUUACCGUAAAAAAGUGAUACAAUUGUAUGAUGUUCAAUGUAUAGGUGUUAAUCAUGAGUAGACGUUUUAAAAAACUCAGGUUCACAGAAAGUGAAGCGAAGUGUUAAUAUAGUUUUGUUGACUAUUUAUUUAUUGUUAGUUGUUUUUAUUGUUCUUAAUCUUUAAGUACAAUAUCCUUGCUUUUAGAUAUCUUAAUCUAGUGGUAACUGCGUUAGUCCUACUAGUUGCCUUGGUAGGGCUACUCCUGAUUAUCUAUAAAAAAGCUGAAAAAUUUACUAUUUUUCUGUUGGUGUUCUCUAU